UACGUAGGUGGCAAGCGUUGUCCGGAUUUACUGGGCGUAAAGGGCGUGCAGGCGGUUUGUUAAGUCUAGGGUGAAAGCUCCCGGCUCAACUGGGAGAGGUCCUUGGAUACUGGCAGACUUGAGGAGGGUAGAGGAGAGUGGAAUUUCCGGUGUAGCGGUGAAAUGCGUAGAUAUCGGAAGGAACAUCAGUGGCGAAAGCGGCUUCCUGGACCAGUACCGACGUUCAGGCACGAAAGCGUGGGGAGCAAACAGG
This 253-nucleotide ribosomal RNA is filed under the name uncultured bacterium. Its description in RNAcentral is "partial 16S ribosomal RNA". It matches the Rfam family "Bacterial small subunit ribosomal RNA", at positions 524 to 776 of the family's 1533-position model. The record is from RNAcentral.